Molecule: ribosomal RNA, 408 nt
Filed under: uncultured bacterium
Lineage: Bacteria
Description: bacterial SSU rRNA
Rfam family: Bacterial small subunit ribosomal RNA
Source: RNAcentral
GUGGGGGAUAUUGCACAAUGGGCGAAAGCCUGAUGCAGCAACGCCGCGUGAGGGAAGACGGUUUUCGGAUUGUAAACCUCUGUUCUAAGUGACGAACAAAUGACGGUAGCUUAGGAGAAAGCCCCGGCUAACUACGUGCCAGCAGCCGCGGUAAUACGUAGGGGGCAAGCGUUGUCCGGAAUUACUGGGUGUAAAGGGAGCGCAGGCGGAGAAGCAAGUCAGUGGUGAAAACGAUGGGCUUAACUCAUCGACUGCCAUUGAAACUGUUUCCCUUGAGUGAAGUAGAGGCAGGCGGAAUUCCGAGUGUAGCGGUGAAAUGCGUAGAUAUUCGGAGGAACACCAGUGGCGAAGGCGGCCUGCUGGGCUUUAACUGACGCUGAGGCUCGAAAGUGUGGGGAGCAAACAGGA